RNAcentral lists this ribosomal RNA (2307 nucleotides) under Triticum aestivum (bread wheat). Its description in RNAcentral is "partial small subunit ribosomal RNA". Lineage: Eukaryota; Viridiplantae; Streptophyta; Magnoliopsida; Poales; Poaceae. The record is from RNAcentral.
AUGAUAAACUUAGAGAUCUUGUUUCUUGGUGAAAACGCAUUAACAGGUUCCCUUCCAAACAAUCUAUGUAACUUGACCAAACUCACUAUAUUAGAGCUUUUUAGUAACCAACUUUCUGGACACAUCCCUCGAGAGAUAGGUCGUAUGAUGAACUUAGAGAUCUUGAGCCUUAGUUACAACACAUUAACAGGUCCCAUCCCAAAUAGCAUACGGAAUUUGACUAAGGUCACUGUCAUAGAUUUAAUGUUCAACCAACUUUCUGGACACAUUCCUCCAGAAAUUGGCAGGUUAACAAGAUUGGCUAGGUUCCAAGCUUCCAUUAACAAUCUCUCUGGUGACUUGCCAUCGGGUAUUUGUGGGAGAGGCCAGCUGCAGUAUUUCACCGUCAGUGGCAACAACUUGGUUGGUCCCUUUCCUACAAGCUUGCUAAGCUGCAGAAGCCUAGUGAGAGUUCGCCUUGAGGGAAAUCAGCUGGAAGGAGAUAUUUCUGAGAUGGGAGUUCACCCGAAUCUUGUAUAUAUUGGUAUCAGUUCAAAUAGACCAUUUGGUCAACUUUCUGAUGGUUGGGGUGAGUGCUGCAACCUUACCACGUUGCGUGCCUCAAACAAAAAUAUCACUGGAUUCAUACCACAAAGCAUAGGGCAAUUAUCACGGUUGCAGAUACUUGAUGUUUCCUCAAAUAAACUUGAAGGACAAAUCCCACCAGAAAUUGAUGGUCUAUCGGCAUUGUUCAAUCUGAGCCUUGGUAAUAACUUGCUUCAAGGAGGUAUACCACAGGAAAUUGGAACAAUAAAAGAACUGGAGUAUCUGGAUUUAUCAUCAAACAACUUGAGUGGGUCGAUACACGGGUCCAUUGAGCAUUGCUCCAAGCUUCGCACUCUGAAGUUGAGCCAUAAUCACCUCAACGGCAGCAUUCCUAUCGAACUAGGGAUGUUGGUAAACCUACAAGAUUUGUUUGAUCUAAGUGACAAUUCAUUCGAAGGCAAGAUACCGAGUCAGCUAGGCAGCCUAAGCAUGCUCGAGAACUUGAAUCUUUCAAACAAUGCAUUGAACGGCAGCAUUCCAUCAUCAUUUCAGAGCCUAAUCAGCCUCUUAUCCAUGGAUGUGUCAUACAACAAACUGGAAGGGCCGGUUCCACGAAGUGUGUUCUUUGAAGAUGCUCCAACUGAAUGGUUUUUGCACAAUAAUCAACUCUGUGGUGUAGUUAAAGGUUUGCCCUCUUGUGAAAUUACUCAAAGUCAUGGACAACAUAAGAAUUACAAAGUUGUUUUACUAGCUAUAAUUCCUGAUCCAAUAACUCUUGUGCUCAUCACCACAGUAGUAACCCUAUUGAGAUAUAAAAGGAAGAAAUAUAGCGCAGAAAGUGGUAAUGACUUGGAGCAGACAAAGUUGUUCACCAUCUGGAACUUUGAUGGACAAGAUCUGUACAAGAAAAUUGUUGACUCCACGGAGAAUUUUGGUGAUAGUCACUGCAUUGGAACUGGAGGUAGUGGGUCAGUGUAUAGAGCUGAGUUACCUAGUGGUGAAAUAUUUGCGGUGAAGAAGAUCCAUCUGAUGGAAGAUGAUGAGUCAUUUGAUCAUGAAAUAGAUGCAUUGAUUCAUAUUCGGCAUCGAAACAUUGUGAAGUUAUUUGGCUACUGUUCUACACCUCAGGGAAGAUUUCUGGUGUACGAAUACAUGGACAGAGGAAGCUUAGCAGAAUCUUUAAAGAACAAGGAAAGUAUAGCUGAAUUGGAUUGGAUAAGAAGGUUAAAUAUAAUCAAUGAUGUUUCUCAUGCUUUAUCUUACAUGCAUCAUGAUUGCUUUGCACCGAUAGUCCACAGAGACAUAUCAAGCAGCAACAUUUUGCUUGAUCUGGAAUUCAGAGCAUGCAUCUCUGAUUUUGGUAUAGCCAAAAUACUAUCUGCGGAUGAUUCAAACUGCACAAGGCUUGCUGGGACAAAAGGGUAUCUUGCCCCAGAGCUUGCAUACUCAACAAGGGUGACAGAGAAAUGCGACAUCUAUAGUUUUGGAGUGCUCACGCUCGAGUUGUUCAUGGGACACCAUCCAGGUGAUUUUCUUUCAUCCAUGCCCGAUAAGAGUACAUCACUCAAGGAUUUGUUGGACAUCCGGAUCCCACUCCCUGCAGCUGAGGUCCGAAGCAAAGUAUUCAAAGUGAUCGCGUUUGCUGUUCGGUGCAUAGAACCCAAUCCAUCACGCUGUCCAACAAUGCAGCAAGCAAUCAAGGUGUUCACUGCAGCUGGAGGACCUGAUAAUCAUGUUGAUCAUCUGCAUACUGGCAUUGUUAUCCCUGCCUGCUGGUCGUGA